Molecule: ribosomal RNA, 429 nt
Filed under: Gemmatimonadota bacterium
Lineage: Bacteria; Pseudomonadati; Gemmatimonadota
Description: Gemmatimonadetes bacterium partial 16S ribosomal RNA
Rfam family: Bacterial small subunit ribosomal RNA
Source: RNAcentral
UAGGGAAUCUUCGGCAAUGGACGAAAGUCUGACCGAGCAACGCCGCGUGAGUGAAGAAGGUUUUCGGAUCGUAAAACUCUGUUGUUAGAGAAGAACAAGGACGUUAGUAACUGAACGUCCCCUGACGGUAUCUAACCAGAAAGCCACGGCUAACUACGUGCCAGCAGCCGUGGUAAUACGUAGGUGGCAAGCGUUGUCCGGAUUUAUUGGGCGUAAAGCGAGCGCAGGCGGUUUCUUAAGUCUGAUGUGAAAGCCCCCGGCUCAACCGGGGAGGGUCAUUGGAAACUGGGAGACUUGAGUGCAGAAGAGGAGAGUGGAAUUCCAUGUGUAGCGGUGAAAUGCGUAGAUAUAUGGAGGAACACCAGUGGCGAAGGCGGCUCUCUGGUCUGUAACUGACGCUGAGGCUCGAAAGCGUGGGGAGCAAACAGG